ACAGGCGCUGAUCGUUUGGACUGAGACCUCCAUCUUGAAUUUAGGAAUUUCAAUAAAAUGUUUCAUGUGUUUGGAUAAUUUAUCUUUCUCAUGGCCUUGAAACAGCACCGACCUACAUAACAGCAUCACAUUAACGACGAGGUGCUCAUAUUUCAUGUGUCUGGAUAACUUAUCUUUAUUACUGCCAUGAAACAACGCUGAUUUACAUAACAGCAUCACAUUGAUGACGAGGGUUGAGGGUGAUUUGGAUACCGGAACUUUCACCGGAAGUUGGGGAGAACAUUUAUGUGAUGCUGUCGACAGCUACUUUACACGCCAUCAUCGAGUCCACCCAUAAUCGAGUGGACCCAUCAUCGAGUGGACCCAGCAAGUGGACCCAUCAUCAAGUCGACCGAUCAUCGAGUGGGCCCAUCCUCAAGUGGACCCUUCAUAUAGUCUACCCAUAAUCAAGUGGACCCAUCAUCGAGUGGACCCAUCGAGUGGACCCAUCAUGGGCAGAUCUCCUGCAAGAGUACUCGGCUUAAGGACUUUAAGAUUGUACCACCUUUAUUUGACAAAGCGUCUACAGGACCAGUACAAGAAAGCAAAUGUCUCUAUCACCCUACUGGACCAUUGAAAAAAAGCAGUUGUUUCUAUAUAUAUUCAAUAAUGCAAACAUCAUUUUUUUAAAAAUUAGUUUCAGAACCUUAGGUCACUAGGAAGACACUGAUUAAAAGUAUCUUAUUUUUAUUUGACUAGCUUCACAAGAAUUUUGUUUGAAAUAAAAAUAAAAUUACUGUAUAAUCAUAAGCUUUUAAGCGGAAUAAGAAUAAUUAUUCAUAUACAACCUAGCUAUUUACAGAAUUUAAUAAUUCUUUCAGUUUUUUAAGGAAGUCUGUAGCACGUAGUUGUAGAAUCUUGCAACUCAUCGUAGACAAUAUUCUUACUCUCUGGUCAGCUAUUAUAUUUAAAACCAACCAGCCGUUAUCACCAAGUCAUGCCCUCGGUUAGCUGAUACAGAGAUCGCAAAUACUUUAAUGGUUAUUUGCCCUUUUGAAUUGUAGUAGUGUUUUUAAAUAAGCUUCAUUAGCAUAACCUAAAACUAACCCCACGAUCUACACCCAGUCACUUAUCCCACACCAUACACACAAUUUACCACACUCCAAACCUCACCCAUACCAAAAUCCACACCACCUUACACAGUACGACACCACGAACUACACACCUAACCAAACCCCCGCACAACACCGGCCCACACUUCAACACUCUCUUGAACGCCACCCGACAUCCUAAACCACAACAUCGCACACCCCACCCCGCAAAAAAACACUACACCCUACAAUGCACAUUUAAAACCCACUGUCCAGGAUUUAUAUCCCUUUACUGUACAUUGCCCAACCCACAUCUCAGCCGCGCUACUUACAUGAUCCACACCCAGUUACUUAUCCCACGCCAUUCCCAAUACACCACAGCCUACUUACAUUAUCCACACCCAGUUACUUAUCCCACGCCAUUCCCAAUACACCACAGCCUACUUACAUGAUCU
Physella acuta is the source of this 1525-nucleotide long non-coding RNA. RefSeq lists it as uncharacterized. NCBI's taxonomy places the organism in Eukaryota, Metazoa, Mollusca, Gastropoda, Physidae. The record is from RefSeq and is a predicted model, not a curated record.